CAAAACAUGGCUUCUCGUUCUUAGUAUAUGUGAAGUCGUACCUGCCCAGUGAAAUUUUAACGGCCGCGGUACUCUGACCGUGCAAAGGUAGCAUAAUAAUUUGCCUUAUAAUUGAAGGCUGGAAUGAAUGGUUUGUCAAGGAUAAAACUGUCUCUAUAAAAUUCUAUAGAAUUUUAUUUUUAGGUGAAAAAGCCUAGGUAGCAUUAAAAGACAAGAAGACCCUAUCGAGCUUUAAAGAACUUAAUAAGUAUUUAUAACUAAUCAGAAAUUUAAUUAUAAAAAAUUUUGGUUGGGGCAACCUAGGAGCAAAUAAAGCCUCCUUUUUUAAAAAAACUAAUUUGUUAUGAUCCAAAAAUUUUGAUCAAAAGAAGUAGUUACCGUAGGGAUAACAGCAUAAUUUUUUUUGAGAGCUCUUAUCGAAAAAAAAGUUUGUGACCUCGAUGUUGGACCAGAAUAUCCUGAAGAUGUAGAAGUCUUCGAGGGUUGGUCUGUUCGACCAUUAAAAUUCUACGUGAUC
This 517-nucleotide ribosomal RNA is filed under the name Raphitomidae gen. sp. AM C.519362. RNAcentral's name for it is "partial large subunit ribosomal RNA". It matches the Rfam family "Bacterial large subunit ribosomal RNA", at positions 1809 to 2605 of the family's 2925-position model. Lineage: Eukaryota; Metazoa; Mollusca; Gastropoda; Neogastropoda; Raphitomidae. The record is from RNAcentral.